This 471-nucleotide ribosomal RNA is filed under the name Neoxanthops quadrilobatus. RNAcentral describes it as "partial 16S ribosomal RNA". The stretch from base 326 to 471 matches the Rfam family "Bacterial large subunit ribosomal RNA", at positions 2473 to 2619 of the family's 2925-position model. Lineage: Eukaryota; Metazoa; Arthropoda; Malacostraca; Decapoda; Xanthidae. The record is from RNAcentral.
GUGCAAAGGUAGCAUAAUCAUUAGGGGUUUAAUUGGAACCUGGUAUGAAUGGUUGGACAAAGGAAAAGCUGUCUUUGUAAUAAAAUUGAAAUUUACAUUUAAGUGAAAAGGCUUAAAUAAUCUAAAGGGACGAUAAGACCCUAUAAAGCUUUAUAGAUAAAUUAAAUUUAAUUAAUUUAGUUGAUAAAAAUUAAGUUUAAUUAUUUUAUUUUGUUGGGGUGAUGUGAAUAUAAUUUAGAUUAACUGUUUAAAAAAGAUUCUAUAUAAUAGAGUUAUUAACAUUAAUGAUCCUUUAAUAAAGAUUAAAAGACUAAGUUACUUUAGGGGUAACAGCGUUAUUUCUUUUGAGAGUUCAUAUCGAAAAAGAAGAUUGCGACCUCGAUGUUGAAUUAAAAUAUCUAUAUAAUGCAGUCGUUAUAAAAGAAGGUCUGUUCGACCUUUAAAUUUUUACAUGAUUUGAGUUCAAACCGG